RNAcentral lists this ribosomal RNA (253 nucleotides) under uncultured bacterium. Its description in RNAcentral is "partial 16S ribosomal RNA". It matches the Rfam family "Bacterial small subunit ribosomal RNA", at positions 524 to 776 of the family's 1533-position model. The record is from RNAcentral.
UACGUAGGGUGCAAGCGUUAAUCGGAAUUACUGGGCGUAAAGCGUGCGCAGGCGGUCUUGCAAGACAGAUGUGAAAUCCCCGGGCUUAACCUGGGAACUGCAUUUGUGACUGCAAGGCUGGAGUGCGGCAGAGGGGGAUGGAAUUCCGCGUGUAGCAGUGAAAUGCGUAGAUAUGCGGAGGAACACCGAUGGCGGAGGCAAUCCCCUGGGCCUGCACUGACGCUCAUGCACGAAAGCGUGGGGAGCAAACAGG